CUGACGGAGUUAGAUUGAAUCCUAGAAAAUUUACCUCCUGGCUACUAAAUACACUCUUCUUAUAAUUUAUUUUUACAUUAUGUGCUUUCAGUCUGCGUUGGACCUUCUCGAGUCUUUCAUCGUGUUCUUUCCUUGUUGUUCCAAAUACGAGGAUAUCGUCCAGGCUUUCAAAAAUGUCUCCCGUUACCGUGUUCACCUGUGCACCUGAAUCGAUCAGAAACCUGCACGGUAAUCCCGCCACAGUUGCAGUUAUCAACCCUUCAUUCUCCAGAGAAGCAAUCUCACAAUGCUGGUCUGCUGGCAAUAUUGAUGGAGCCAUCUAUCAAGCAAAAAAAAACCCAAUGAUUGAAAUUCAAUAUGGAUUUAUUACAACAAAAGAAAAUGGCCAAAGUCAUAAAGUACAAAAUGCAUUUUAACAAGAGGAAAAUAACAAGGACCUUUUCCUCAGAUUUUUCAAUUGUAGCUAAUCUCUUCGAUGGUUGUUGUUGAUAUUGCUUCAGUGACGGACGCUUGAAACCACCAUCAUAACGCUUAGGACAUACUCGCUGCCAGUGCCCAUAUUCCUUGCAUCUCCUGCAUUGGUCAUUAGAAGCUGGACAAACUGACGGAUCAUGAUUGAUACGAUUACAAUUCUUACAACGAACGUCCUUGAACUGGUUCCUUUGUUUCCAAACCUGAUUACCACGAAAAUUAGGACGUCUGCCGAAACGAUUUCCCUGCUCAUCAGAUUGUGAAGACUGCCAAUACUUUUGCUCUGUGAACUUCUUCGGAGUAAAUACUGGGGCUACCAGAGCCUGUUUACGAGCAUCGUGUUUCAAAUUAAAAAAUUCUUCGUUCAUGCGCAUUGCGUCAAGUUCGCGGAUUUUGUCUACCAACUCAGUUAUUGAACCACCACGACCAAUCAUUUUGAAUGCAAUUUUACGUACAUCUGGGUUGGAAGCAUGGCCUGCAACUAUGCCAAUCAUCUCGCUAAACUGUUUAUCGUCUUCGAAGUCACACAAUCGGAUUAUAGCGCCUACUCUAGUGACAAAAUCAAUAUCAGGUUCUCCAGGAUUCUGAAAUGUGAUAGCGAGUUUCCGUCUCUGUAGCAUUAUAUUCGAGCUUGUUGCAAAAUAUGUCUGCAACCGUUGCAUAGCGUUUGCAAAUGGAUGCAAAUCAGGGUCUGGACUGUCCUGUGAGGAUUUAGUAUUCCUGAAGAUUUGAAGAAGCUGCAGUCCAGCUUUCACCUUAAAUAUUGUGUACUGUGUUGCCUCGUCAACGACACCUGCCAGCUUCAUGUAAUCUACCAGUAAGUCACGCCACAUUUCGAAAGUAUGCCGAGUAAUACCUUCUCCUUCUUUAGCCUCUUUGCAUUCCGGGAUUGUUAUCGUUGAAAUCGAAAGUUGGUUUACGGUUGACAAAAACUGAGAACCUUCCAUAUUUGAAGUUAUUGUUGGUCGACGUCCAUUAGUUUCACCUAGAUUGACGUUUUGAGUUUGUCGUCUAGCUCCGCUUGAGCCUGCUUGUAGUUGUUGGAAUUUCUCAGAACUUGAUGUCAUUUCGGGUCGUCUAGUGCUGGACGGUCUAAGAGCCUCACCAAAAUCGAUACUAUUCUCGAUCGAACUCUCUCGUCGAACCCCGUUCAGGCUUGCCUGUAGCGACAAAAUCGCUUCCUUCGCCUUAUCUAGUUCAUCGCUCAAUCUAACAGAUCUUGCACGUUCGUCUGAAAGUUCUUUCAGAACCUGUUUUAACUUCAGGCUUUUCUUUUUCGGGUUGCUGAAAGCCAAUUUAGGAAAUUGAAUUCAGACAAUGAAUUUUCUGACCUAUUGUACAUCUAGCAAAAUUUUAAAUUACUUAAUCAUUAAGAUGGUUCAUAUUUCUUUCGAGGUUAUGUAGAAAAACAUGGGCGAGGAUAGUUGAAUGUCAAUUUGAGCUUUUUUUUUUUUAAUCGUAUCAAGAACUAUUCCAGAAAA
This is a long non-coding RNA of Uranotaenia lowii, 1952 nucleotides long. RefSeq lists it as uncharacterized. NCBI's taxonomy places the organism in Eukaryota, Metazoa, Arthropoda, Insecta, Diptera, Culicidae. The transcript has 3 exons. The record is from RefSeq and is a predicted model, not a curated record.